UCGAGUCGUUGGAUGGUCGCUCCCCGCCACAGUUCGUUGGCGGGGGGAGGAAAGUCCGAGCUCCAGAGGGCAGCGUACUCCGCUAACCGCGGGGCCUUCCCCGCCGAUGGCGGGGAGGCGGAUCAGAGCCACAGAGACGAGUAAUCCCUCCACCUACGGUGGGGGGAAGACGUGAAACGCGGCAAUCUCUACGCGGAGCAAGGCCAAACGUCUCGCUUAUCGGGUUGCCCGCCCGAAUCCCGCGCGACGCGUGGGUAGCGAGGAGGUAGGCCGCAGGACUCUGGUGGCAACAUCAGAGCGAGAUGGAUGACCAUCGGCCGUCGCUUCGCGACGGAGUGAACACAGUGUACAGUUCACUGUACACGGUACACUGUACACUUCCGAGCGGAGCGAGGGUUACAGAACUCGGCUUAUAGGCGCCCUGGGGGC
Molecule: RNase P RNA, 429 nt
Filed under: Candidatus Omnitrophota bacterium
Lineage: Bacteria; Pseudomonadati; Candidatus Omnitrophota
Description: RNase P RNA component class A
Rfam family: Bacterial RNase P class A
About the family: Ribonuclease P (RNase P) is a ubiquitous endoribonuclease, found in archaea, bacteria and eukarya as well as chloroplasts and mitochondria. Its best characterised activity is the generation of mature 5'-ends of tRNAs by cleaving the 5'-leader elements of precursor-tRNAs.
Source: RNAcentral